UCCUCUAUAGUGUAGUGGUUAACAUAGUUGGUUUUCACCCAACAGCCUCGGGUUCGAUUCCCGAUAGAGGAA
RNAcentral lists this transfer RNA (72 nucleotides) under Rhinocladiella mackenziei CBS 650.93. RNAcentral describes it as "tRNA-Glu (TTC) (tRNA-Glu-TTC-1-1)". It matches the Rfam family "tRNA". From Rfam's summary of the family: Transfer RNA (tRNA) molecules are approximately 80 nucleotides in length. Their secondary structure includes four short double-helical elements and three loops (D, anti-codon, and T loops). Further hydrogen bonds mediate the characteristic L-shaped molecular structure. tRNAs have two regions of fundamental functional importance: the anti-codon, which is responsible for specific mRNA codon recognition, and the 3' end, to which the tRNAs corresponding amino acid is attached (by aminoacyl-tRNA synthetases). tRNAs cope with the degeneracy of the genetic code in two manners: having more than one tRNA (with a specific anti-codon) for a particular amino acid; and 'wobble' base-pairing, i.e. permitting non-standard base-pairing at the 3rd anti-codon position. Lineage: Eukaryota; Fungi; Ascomycota; Eurotiomycetes; Chaetothyriales; Herpotrichiellaceae. The record is from RNAcentral.